CCCUUAGAUGUUCUGGGCCGCACGCGUGCUACACUGAUGCAUUCAACGAGUCUAAAACCUGGUCUGAUAGGGCUGGGUAAUCUUUUGAAAGUGCAUCGUGAUUGGGACAGAUGAUUGCAAUUCUUCAUCUUCAACGAGGAAUGCCUAGUAAACGCAAGUCAUCAGCUUGCAUUGAUUACGUCCCUGCCCUUUGUACACACCGCCCGUCGCUCCUACCGAUUGAAUGAUCCGAUGAAUACCAUGGAUUGAGAGUACGAAUAGGUUCGCUUAUUUCUGCUGCUCGAGAAGUGGAGUAAAUCUUAUCAUUUAGAGGAAGGAGAAGUCGUAACA
RNAcentral lists this ribosomal RNA (330 nucleotides) under uncultured eukaryote. Its description in RNAcentral is "partial 18S ribosomal RNA". It matches the Rfam family "Eukaryotic small subunit ribosomal RNA", at positions 1470 to 1796 of the family's 1831-position model. The record is from RNAcentral.